This 460-nucleotide ribosomal RNA is filed under the name uncultured bacterium. Its description in RNAcentral is "partial 16S ribosomal RNA". It matches the Rfam family "Bacterial small subunit ribosomal RNA", at positions 338 to 795 of the family's 1533-position model. The record is from RNAcentral.
CCUACGGGUGGCAGCAGUGGGGAAUAUUGGUCAAUGGGCGCAAGCCUGAACCAGCCAUGUAGCGUGAAUGAUGACUGCCCUCUGGUUGGUAAACAUCUUUUAUGGGGGAGUAGAACGUGGAGCGUGUGCCUUUUUUCAUGUACUUUAUGAGUAAGAGUCGGCUAACUCCGUGCCAGCAGCCGCGGUAAUACGGAGGGUACGAUCGUUAUCCGGAUUUAUUGGGUUUAAAGGGAGCGUAGAGGGGUUGUUAAGUCAGUUGUGAAAGUCUGCGGCUCAACCGGAAAAUUGCAAGUGAUACUGGCAGGCUUGAGUAUAGUUGAGGUAGGUGGAAUUCGUGGUGUAGCGGUGAAAUGCGUAGAGAUCACGAAGAAUCCCGAUUGCGAAGGCAGCUCACUAAACGGUGACUGACACUGAGGUGCGAAAGUGUGGGUAUCAAACAGGAUUAGAUACCCUUGUAGUC